Molecule: ribosomal RNA, 584 nt
Filed under: uncultured Gammaproteobacteria bacterium
Lineage: Bacteria; Pseudomonadati; Pseudomonadota; Gammaproteobacteria
Description: bacterial SSU rRNA
Rfam family: Bacterial small subunit ribosomal RNA
Source: RNAcentral
CGAUUAGAGUUUGAUCAUGGCUCAGAUUGAACGCUGGCGGCAGGCCUAACACAUGCAAGUCGAGCGGUAGAGAGAAGCUUGCUUCUCUUGAGAGCGGCGGACGGGUGAGUAAUGCCUAGGAAUCUGCCUGGUAGUGGGGGAUAACGUUCGGAAACGGACGCUAAUACCGCAUACGUCCUACGGGAGAAAGCAGGGGACCUUCGGGCCUUGCGCUAUCAGAUGAGCCUAGGUCGGAUUAGCUAGUUGGUGGGGUAAUGGCUCACCAAGGCGACGAUCCGUAACUGGUCUGAGAGGAUGAUCAGUCACACUGGAACUGAGACACGGUCCAGACUCCUACGGGAGGCAGCAGUGGGGAAUAUUGGACAAUGGGCGAAAGCCUGAUCCAGCCAUGCCGCGUGUGUGAAGAAGGUCUUCGGAUUGUAAAGCACUUUAAGUUGGGAGGAAGGGCAGUAAAUUAAUACUUUGCUGUUUUGACGUUACCGACAGAAUAAGCACCGGCUAACUCUGUGCCAGCAGCCGCGGUAAUACGAAUCACUAGUGAAUUCGCGGCCGCCUGCAGGUCGACCAUAUGGGAGAGCUCCCAA